Molecule: small RNA, 121 nt
Filed under: Streptomyces sp. TSRI0281
Lineage: Bacteria; Bacillati; Actinomycetota; Actinomycetes; Kitasatosporales; Streptomycetaceae
Description: Streptomyces-metH RNA
Rfam family: Streptomyces-metH RNA
Source: Rfam by way of RNAcentral
GCAGUCCGCACCGUGAACGCACUGACGGGGCAGGGCCGCGUCCGGCUACGCUGGCGGGGUGCGCCUUCCGACAGAGGGUCGCAAAGCCGACAGCCGUCGCAUCCCUGGGAGAUCAUCCAUG